UUUGAUGUGGUGGAAUUGGUAGACACGCCAGGUUUAGGUUCUGGUCCAUCCGGGUGCGAGUUCAAGUCUCGCCAUCAAAA
RNAcentral lists this transfer RNA (80 nucleotides) under Diacronema viridis. Its description in RNAcentral is "tRNA-Leu". It matches the Rfam family "tRNA". Rfam says of the family: Transfer RNA (tRNA) molecules are approximately 80 nucleotides in length. Their secondary structure includes four short double-helical elements and three loops (D, anti-codon, and T loops). The record is from RNAcentral. Lineage: Eukaryota; Haptophyta; Pavlovophyceae; Pavlovales; Pavlovaceae.